Formica exsecta is the source of this 2149-nucleotide RNA transcript. It is a transcript of the gene named flexible cuticle protein 12-like, with no coding region annotated. Lineage: Eukaryota; Metazoa; Arthropoda; Insecta; Hymenoptera; Formicidae. The record is from RefSeq and is a predicted model, not a curated record. The transcript is spliced from 2 exons.
ACGGAAUUGCAUUUCCGUGCACGGUUCCAGGCUGGACGAUCGCGAGAUGAAGCAAGUGUCAGCGUUCACCACCGUUGGAUAGUGGAAUCGGUAGAAAAUUACAACGAUCGUCCUCAAUGAUGAAUCCGUCUUGUCUUUUAUAUAUGGUGUGUAUUUCCACUAUUGCAAGAGCCACGGUUCAUUUACCACUCCAGUCUUUCCUCUUUAAGGAAAAGUUCACGGCAGAUUAUCAGCAAUAACGAAUGCGAAUCGUUUGCGUAGGAAUUCUGAGAAAUUGAAAAGGCAUGAAUGGUAAUCGAUAAUUUUCCGAUGACUUUUUAACGUUUCUCUUUGCGACAUUCACGUAUAAGGCAUAGGGUAUUAGCAUGUCGUUUUAUCUUCUAAUUGUUUCGAUAUAGUUGCAAAUUAAAAAUCGGCAAGUAAGAGGAAGUGUUGACAAGUUCAAUGAAAAUUGAUAAGAGUAACAAAUAAGAAUUUUAAUUAAUAGUCCUAUUCGAAUUCUUUAGAAUAUGUAAAAAUCUUUCUGCAAUCUGACCAAACCGGUUUAGGGAACGACUUUAUGAACAUUCAUAUAAAUCAUAACUAAUCGAGAACGAGAAAAUAUAUUUUUAGCAACUUUAAUUUGUCCUUGAUCUUAAUAAUUAAUUUCUGUCGUGCUUAGAGAAUUGAAUCAGGUUCUUUGAUUUUUAAUCUAAGCAGACGUAUUUAAAUUUAUAUUGGAUCAAACGCGCAGAGCAAUAUUUAAGCGAGAGAUGAGAGAUGAAAGAAAAGAAAGAACAUCUUCUAAUAGUCUGCAUUUGAUCAAAAUGUCCAUAUAUUCGUCAUUGAUAUUUUUCCGAAGAUAAAUCAUUGUUUGCUUCGUUAGGUAUGUAAAUCUCCGCGUUAAGUGGCACAGCAUGAGUUUUCCGGAUUGCUUUACACAAGAAGAAUUGUGUGAACGCAAUUAUCUUAUUUCAACAUCUCUUGUUUUUUCGCGACUUUGUUGAUCACGUUACCGCUUUAUUCUUCCGUACAUCAAUGUCUCGUUGAUGAUUUUUUUCGGUAUGUGUGGAAUGAAAAAUGAAUACAUCAAAUAUUAUGCAAUCUUUUUCUUACAGAUUCGUACAAGAUUAUUGAUUGGUAAUUACAUAGAAAUCUGAAAAUAUAUACGAACAUCCAUCUCGUAUAAUUUAAGACGAGAUCUUCUUUUAUCGAAAGACUCACCUUUCAAAGUGUCAGCUACUAUUUACUGUCACCUUUAAGCACCCUUUCCGCGUACUUUUGCAGGAGGCCACAUAUCCUGCUGGUAUAAUUAUCUUAUCUGGCUACAUUAUCCGCAAAGAAACCUCGCGUGAAUUAUGAGGAUAUCGUCGAUGAUAAUCAUUCGUGUUGCAUGUACAUAAAAUGCGCAGAUGAUGCUCGACCCGAUGGUUCGCACCUUCGACACGCAAUGAUCAUGUGGUCCAUCGCGAGAUAUACACAAGAUCAUUGUCUUUGCUGCCGUCGUUGCUGUUGCCCUCGCAAGAUCCCCGCCUGUUUUUAAUACGGAGUUUGACAACAGCCAGACGGUGGUUGUAAAGGAGACGCCUUUGGACAAUAUCGGCAUUGACGGAUAUCAAUUUGGUUAUGAACUCUCCAACGGCCAGGCCCAUCAGGAAUCUGCCCAGCUGGUGAACGCUGGACAGGAGAAUGAGAGUAUUGCCGUCCGUGGUAGCUUCACCUACGUCGAUCCGGUCACCAACGUUAGAUACACCGUCAACUACAUCGCCGAUGAGAACGGAUUCCAGCCCCAGGGCGAGCAUCUGCCGUCUGUCUAAAUCUUAGCGAGAACCCUUGCAAAUAUUAUGAUCGAAUUCUUUCACAGUUUAAUCUCGUCUCUAUGCUCGAAGAAAUUCGAACUCUUUUGAUUUCUUCGAUCGUAGCAAUUCCGCACGACAUAGACCUAGUUUUAAAAUAAAUUCAUUUUUAUAUAAUUAUCGUCCAACAUUUAUUUCACAAUUCCUCCAUUUCCAACAUAUUAUUCCGAUUUUAUUAAUAGAUAAGUAACGUUCUCAGCAAAAUAGAGAAUGAAGCAGAUUAAUAAAUGUUUGACUAAAACAAAUGAUCUUUAAUUGAUCCGAUCAAUUUAUUCAACAAAUUAUAGCAAUACAGUGUACAUAUGUUACACAAU